AUAGACAUGCUUUCUGAAGCAGGACUCUCUGUUAUAGAAACCACCAGCUUUGUGUCUCCUAAGUGGGUUCCCCAAUGGGUGACCACACUGAAGUCUUGAAGGGCAUUCAGAAGUUUCCUGGCAUCAACUACCCAGUCCUGACCCCAAAUUUGAAAGGCUUCGAGGCAGCGUCACCAAGAAGUUCUACUCAAUGGGCUGCUACGAGAUCUCCCUGGGGGACACCAUUGGUGUGGGCACCCCAGGGAUCAUGAAAGACAUGCUAUCUGCUGUCAUGCAGGAAGUGCCUCUGGCUGCCCUGGCUGUCCACUGCCAUGACACCUAUGGUCAAGCCCUGGCCAACACCUUGAUGGCCCUGCAAUGGGAGUGAGUGUCGUGGACUCUUCUGUGGCAGGACUUGGAGGCUGUCCCUACGCACAGGGGGCAUCAGGAAACUUGGCC
This 438-nucleotide long non-coding RNA is filed under the name Homo sapiens (human). RNAcentral describes it as "non-protein coding lnc-GALE-2:1". Lineage: Eukaryota; Metazoa; Chordata; Mammalia; Primates; Hominidae. The record is from RNAcentral.